AGAGGGAGGGACUUGUCUUGAUUCAGUACAAUGACGUGCGGUGUGGUGCAAUUUUCACAUGACUCAAGCACUUGUGGGAUACUUUGGUAAGGUGUGGAGCUGAAUACCCAGUAGAAAUGCACACUUUGGAGUGGAUUACAACACAAGGUUUUAAAGAAAAGAAAUAUGCGUAGAAGAAUGCUGUAGGACUGCUGCAGAUACCUAAAGAAGAAUGUUGGCUCUUGGAUGGUCCUUCUGGUGUAUUUUACUGAGUCUACACAUGCCACUUCAUGGCUUGGAGAUUUUUGAACAUGACAGCCACAAAGUCAUUUGCUCACAGGGUCUCUCUAAAUGCAAGAUGAAAGAUGAGAUGCCUGUUAAUCCCAGCAAAAACACUGUGGAUGUUCAGACACUAAAACCAGAUUUUAAGCUCUGCUGUACGAACAAGACAGCAUGUGCAUUAUGUUUGGUGAUAGACAUAGAGUUUAACAUCGAUCCAGAUGAAGACACGGAGGAUCAAGGCUCCUCUGGCUCAGAAAUGGAAGAAUACAGAGAAGACAAGAUCACUUCACAAGGGUCAUUGACAGUAUGUUAUUGCACAGAAGCGUCCAUGCCAAAGUGCAAGAAGGUGGUGUUUACAGUGAAUAAUGAAGCUCUUACUCAACAAAACCAGCUAAAGAUCUCAGUGGUGCUUACUCAGUCAGAUGGCUUUCCCUUUGAAAUCUCCCUGAUUGUCCGUAGCUCAAGUAUAACUGAAAGGGUUGCUGCUCCUUCUUUUAAUGAAGUGUGCUCCCAGGAACUGCAGAAAACUUUACCAGAGUGUCAAGUGCCCAAAUUCACAUUUGCAGUAAACUCAAAGAUGAAUCAAGUGGAGCUGCAGCUUGAAGACGGGAAUAAGAUCCCCCCCUCGAUGUGCAUCCAGUACGAGCAGAAAGGAAGGUGUCAGAGUUGGAACAGGAUGACCAUACCACUGUACUCCGUAACCCGCUGCAUGUGUCUCCAGCUGUGGUACGAGGAUGGACAAAGGUCUACACGGUCACUACAAUGCCCCUUCAAUAAAUCUGAUUCUCUAAAUGAAUCACAAAAGAACAUAUGGGAAAAUAUCACCGUGUCAAAGCCCCAUGUACAAAUGACCAGCUUUGGAGAAAUGUUAUCCUGGAACGUGUCUGCACCUUGCAGGCUGGAUGGUAAAGUGUGGCUGCUUAAGAAACACAGUCGAAGCAGGAGUGCCUUCAGCCAACAGCUGGAAAAUGGCACUGCAUGGAAACAAAACAUCAAGGGACUCUGGGUGAACACAUUUGUGUUUGAAAAUGUACCCCUCCGGCCCUUGCCGUGUUUGAUGAUGAGAGUAAAGGGAAUGGAACAUGACCUAGGUCCAUUUUGUUUUGAUGACAAUGUUGCAGCUGGCAGGUGGCGCUGGAGUCUCCUAGCCACUGCUGUUAUGCUGCUGGCUUUCAUUACUGUGCUGUUGUUAUGGUCCUUUCAUAAAUCUAUCAAGGGAUGGGUGUGGAGCUGGCAACACGGUGGGAUAGUAAAAAUUUGUAAGAUGCGUCAUGUUGUCCUGCUGAGCCCCCCAGACGUGGAUGAUGCCACUUCUAAGUUGGUGUGUCAGAUCGGGUCCAACCUCAGCGACAAGGGCUUCAGUGUGUCUGUCGACCAGUGGAGCAGGAGGGAGCAGUGUAAUUGGGGGCCUCUGCCAUGGCUGCAUUCACAGCUGCUGGAGCUUAACAGCCUGGGUGGCCGAGUUCUGCUGGUUCUGACACGUAGAGCCUUGGAGAGAACCGAAGAAUGGAUGCACUGGAACAAAGAUAUUAUCAACGAAAGCAUGGGGAACAAAGAAAAUGAUCUACCAAAGCUGUGGUCACCGUAUUCUGAUUUGUUCACAGCCUCCCUGUCCCUAAUUCAAGCUGACAAGCUCCUUGAUAGAGCUGGUAAACGUUUCGUUCUGGUGAAAUUUGAUUCCCACCCAAGAGAGACUCACACCAGAGACAGGUGUUUACCAGAGCUUCUACAGGGGCUGCCACUGUUUAGUCUUCCCUCUCAGAAUCAGUCUCUCCUAGCUGAGCUAACUGUGACAAAGACAGAGAGAGGAUCAUAUGGAGGAAGGUGAGGUACUCCAAUGGCUAAAAAGGGACCAAGACCAGCAAGAGGGCAUCAUCGUGUAAAUCUUUUAAAUCACCCAAAUGUACUUUAAUAAGCUGUAUUGCUUUUUUGUGUACAUGAAGAAUAUGUUCAUCAGAGUUGGCUGCCAUGAAGAUGAUAUGCUAAUGAAGAAUAAGACUCCCGACUCAGUGAUAAGUGAUACAAAUACAGUCAACAAAUUCCAUACAGAGACCAUAACCAAUAAUCUGUUGUUCUAAAUCUCCACAUACCUUCAAGCCUUAUUUUAUUUUAUUUUUUAAAUCUGCUUAAGCAGAAGCAGCUGCUGUACCAGGACAGUGUAUACAAACUGACAGUAUAAACUAAGUCCUGACAUGUCUUGAGAUGAUCAUCUCUGUACACAAAGACAACGGCAAAAAAAUCUGGAUGAUCUAUUCAUUUUGGUCUUUUAGGGGAUUUUUUGAAAGCAAGAACGAUUAUAGUCUUAUUGUCAAAGCUGCAAAACUGUAACUCCUACAGACUAAAAAUAACCGUGCACGGAAGCCUGUCCACACCUGUCUAUAACUAUAUUUGCCUCUGUUUUUGUUUUUUUGUUUGGUUUAAAAGCUAAAACACAUCGAGUUAUGAUUGGUCUUUGGAAGGACAGCGGCUCUUAUUGGGCCAGUGUAAGGACUUACUGAAGUACUUGUUAUAAGUAUUACCACAUUCCGUAAGAGCGGUGUCUUGGGACGGAUAUGUGCUCCGCCCGCGCGGGAGGUGUGAGUUAUCUCUGCAACCGAACACAAUGUAGCCAACAGCCGGUCAUGUGUCAAGCGGGUCUGUCUUGGAUUCACUUCUUUUAAAGUUUUCUGCCCGUUUCACCCUAUAGCAGCGCGAAGGUAACGAAUACUCUUCAUUUCAGAGUCAGUUUGUUGCUGGUCGUGUUGCUUGUUUUAGUGUCAGAUUUUCUGUCGGCUGAUAUGUUUGUUUGUUUUUCAACGUGAAACAUGAAGAACCAGAGACUGGCAUCAAGGCUACUUUAUAUUUAGAAGCACGGUAACCGAAUGGGCAUGAAGAGUCUCCACAGAAACCUGCUUCAGGGUGUUUGUCUAUGGAGUCUGCUGGCUGUUCAGGUGAGCAGUUGUCCAGAUAGCUGCAGUUUGUGUUCAGGGCCAGAAAAUGACCAGUGUGAGGAAUGCAGAGAUGGAUGGACACUCCAUAAUAAGAUCUGUGUAGACAUCGAUGAGUGUGGCACACAGCUGGGUAACUGUCCUCCAAACAGUUACUGCUUUAAUACAGAAGGAUCCUUUGAGUGCAGAGGCUGCGACGUGGCCUGUGUGGGCUGCUUGGGUAGCGGACCAGCACGCUGCAGGAAAUGUGCUUCUGGGUACAGACUGACAGGAUCCAAGUGUUUGGAUAUAGAUGAAUGCAGUGACCGUGUGCUUGCCUGCCAUGGUCUCGAUGAGAUUUGUACCAACACAGAAGGAUCUUUCCGUUGUGACUGCGCUGAAGGAUUCAUCCGCAUGGACAGUGUUUGCGUGAAAAAGCAGUUGCCUCAUUUUGAGGAGAAAGGUCUAUUUGAGGAUAUCCAGGAUGAUGAGGUGGAGAUACUGAAGCAGAUGUUUUUUGGGGUGGUCCUUUGUGCUCUGGCAACACUUGCAGCAAAGGGAGAUUUGGUCUACACAUCUGUGUUUAUGGGAGCAUUGGCAGCCAUGGCGGGUUACUGGCUUUCUGAUCGAGGCGACCGAUUGUUAAACAGCUUUGUAAAGGGACAUUAGAGUUGCAGACUUUUGCAAAGAGAACUUUACAGGAAAUGGACAAACCAAUGCGCUGCUGCUUAGAGUGGCCAUGGAGUUUUGCAUUAUUUUGUAUUGUGUGGAAUAUAAUAUGUGCUUUUAAAAAUGUCUUGUUUGUUAAAGUGUAUAAACUAUUACUUUAAGUUUAUGCUGCUUAUAAAAUUUUUUGAUUCAGGAGGGUGACAUUUAGUGUGCCUUAUCUUCUGCAAGUCUGCAGAUUUUUCUCAGACUCAUGGAUUUAAAUUGUUUUUCCAUAAGUCAGUGUGUGAUAUCAUGGUCCUUAUGGAGUACGGAAAAGAAAAUAUAUUUGUGCAGUGAGAUUACAAAAGGUUGAUUCAGUUAAGCAGCUAAAGAGUUGAAGUGCAUUUGGUGGUAUCUAACAUCGUCUUAUUUCGUAGAAUAAAAUUACAGAUGUCUUGAAUUCUAUGUGCACAUUGCAGUUUUAGUGAGUUUGAUUACAGAGAUUCAAGUAAAACCUGUUAAAUCUUUAAAAGUAUUGGCACAUGCACCCAGGAAAAACUGACUUUCAGGGUCUCAAGUAUCUUUCUCACAAGGACAUUAAUGAAGCUGCAGACAUCUAAAUACCACGGUGAAUGUUGUCUCACUUUACACAAGUAAGAGCCAAAGAAUCCAAACUAAAGAUCUAAACAAAGGGGGGAGAAGGUAUCUUAGCAGAAGGCUUAGGAAGAAAGUCAUGUGUUUAGAUUAUUAUAUAUAUCAAACAAACACAUUAAUGUUGUGCUCCUGCAGCAGUCCAAGGUAAUGACCAUGGCCAGUUUUCCAUAUAAAAUGCUGCUGUUAUUUGUAUGUACUGCAUUAGAAAUGACCAACGAUUGGGGUUUUUUUUCUCUGUAUUUGGAGCAGCCAAAAUACAAUGAGAGGAUUCUUUCACCACCCUUUUUUUUUUUUUUUUUUUUUUUUUUUUUUUUUUUUUAGGUACACCUGUUCAGCUGCCGUUUAUGCAAAUAUAUAGUUGGCUAAUGAUUUAAGUGACUUUGACUAUGUCAAGGUUGUUGUUGCCAGACAGCCUGGUCUCAGUAUUUCACAAACUGGUGAUCUAUUUAAAAUUUCCCAACAUAACCAUCUUUAUAGUUUACAGAUGAUGGUCCAAGGCAUGUGGACCCCAGCUCAGCAGCCAGACCCUGAACUUUAACAUGUAGCAAAAGCAGCGAUGAGCAGUUAGGCUGCUGCCUCCAUUUCUACCUGUUCAUGUUUCUGAAGUCAAAGUCUCUCUGUGCUGGUUUUCAUCUUUGCUUUUUGCUGUCAGCACAAACUAAAGGAAAGAUUAUGUGUCCUCAUUAGGAUCCUGAUUUGUGUUGGUGUAUGGAAAUUUGUAGUAAAGCUGUUAUGUUCAAUGCUUUCCAUGUGCACAUUUUUCAAGGUAUAAAUGCUCAAAUAAAUACUUUACAUACAGUUA
This is a non-coding RNA of Maylandia zebra (zebra mbuna), 5271 nucleotides long. The record is from RefSeq and is a predicted model, not a curated record. NCBI's taxonomy places the organism in Eukaryota, Metazoa, Chordata, Actinopteri, Cichliformes, Cichlidae.